Molecule: ribosomal RNA, 487 nt
Filed under: Leucobacter sp. 601GF
Lineage: Bacteria; Bacillati; Actinomycetota; Actinomycetes; Micrococcales; Microbacteriaceae
Description: bacterial SSU rRNA
Rfam family: Bacterial small subunit ribosomal RNA
Source: RNAcentral
UGGCGAACGGGUGAGUAACACGUGAGCAACCUGCCCUUCACUCUGGGAUACGCACUGGAAACGGUGUCUAAUACUGGAUAUGACNCAUCACCGCAUGGUGUGUGGGUGGAAAGAUUUAUCGGUGAAGGAUGGGCUCGCGGCCUAUCAGCUUGUUGGUGAGGUAGUGGCUCACCAAGGCGACGACGGGUAGCCGGCCUGAGAGGGUGACCGGCCACACUGGGACUGAGACACGGCCCAGACUCCUACGGGAGGCAGCAGUGGGGAAUAUUGCACAAUGGGCGCAAGCCUGAUGCAGCAACGCCGCGUGAGGGAUGACGGCCUUCGGGUUGUAAACCUCUUUUAGUAGGGAAGAAGCGAAAGUGACGGUACCUGCAGAAAAAGCACCGGCUAACUACGUGCCAGCAGCCGCGGUAAUACGUAGGGUGCAAGCGUUGUCCGGAAUUAUUGGGCGUAAAGAGCUCGUAGGCGGCUUGUCGCGUCUGCUGUG